RNAcentral lists this ribosomal RNA (406 nucleotides) under uncultured bacterium. Its description in RNAcentral is "partial 16S ribosomal RNA". It matches the Rfam family "Bacterial small subunit ribosomal RNA", at positions 30 to 526 of the family's 1533-position model. The record is from RNAcentral.
AUUGAACGCUGGCGGCAGGCCUAACACAUGCAAGUCGAACGAGUGGCGGACGGGUGAGUAAUGUCUGGGAAACUGCCUGAUGGAGGGGGAUAACUACUGGAAACGGUAGCUAAUACCGCAUACCAUCAGAUGUGCCCAGAUGGGAUUAGCUAGUAGGUGGGGUAACGGCUCACCAAGGCGAAGAUCCCUAGCUGGUCUGAGAGGAUGACCAUCCACACUGGAACGGAGACACGGUCCAGACUCCUACGGGAGGCAGCCGUGGGGAAUAUUUCACAAUGGGCGCAAGCCUGAUGCAGCCAUGCCGCGUGUAUGAAGAAGGCCUUCGGGUUGUAAAGUACUUUCAGCGAGGAGGCGUUACCCGCAGAAGAAGCACCGGCUAACUCCGUGCCAGCAGCCGCGGUAAUAC